RNAcentral lists this ribosomal RNA (325 nucleotides) under Metarhizium anisopliae. RNAcentral's name for it is "eukaryotic LSU rRNA". The stretch from base 1 to 85 matches the Rfam family "5.8S ribosomal RNA", at positions 68 to 154 of the family's 154-position model. Lineage: Eukaryota; Fungi; Ascomycota; Sordariomycetes; Hypocreales; Clavicipitaceae. The record is from RNAcentral.
GNNNUNGCANANUCAGUGAUCAUCGAAUCUUUGAACGCACAUUGCGCCCGUCAGUAUUCUGGCGGGCAUGCCUGUUCGAGCGUCAUUACGCCCCUCAAGUCCCCUGUGGACUUGGUGUUGGGGAUCGGCGAGGCUGGUUUUCCAGCACAGCCGUCCCUUAAAUUAAUUGGCGGUCUCGCCGUGGCCCUCCUCUGCGCAGUAGUAAAGCACUCGCAACAGGAGCCCGGCGCGGUCCACUGCCGUAAAACCCCCCAACUUUUUAUAGUUGACCUCGAAUCAGGUAGGACUACCCGCUGAACUUAAGCAUAUCAAUAAGCGGAGGAAC